Molecule: long non-coding RNA, 7305 nt
Filed under: Lactuca sativa (garden lettuce)
Lineage: Eukaryota; Viridiplantae; Streptophyta; Magnoliopsida; Asterales; Asteraceae
Description: long non-coding RNA (LSAT_LNC007369)
Source: RNAcentral
AAGUGCCCUUAACACCUUGUAUGGCUUGGAAUUGGACCUAGAACUUUGUAUGUUUAACCUACAACCACCAAAACACAUGAUUCAUGGAAAAAAAUGAGUUUAUGUCCGUAAACUCAUGUGUUUAAGGUAGUAAACUCAUCAAGAACAUCUUCAUAAACCGUAAACUCCUUUCCAAGGUCAUUUCAAGUCCCGAUCACUUCCUAAGCCAUGGAACCAACCCUAGAACUUCCCUUUAUGCAUUGUAAUACCAUUUAGCAUCCAAGAACACACUACCCAUGAGUUUAUGGGCGUAAACUCAUGGGGAUAUGGUUAUUGGACCGUAAACUCCCCUAAGGGCUUACACUUGAAGAGUAAACUCCUUAUUUAGGCCCUACACACCCUUAAAUGCAACCUGGGUCAUUCUAAACGCUUGAUAUAAAGUGUUUUCGCGCCUCGGAGUGUAUAUUCUUAAUUAUUUAGUAUUUCAAAGUCUAAUUAGAUAAAAUUUAUGUAUCUCUUCAUAUUACAUAGGAACCUCACGUGUUGUCAAGCCCCGAACUGACACUUAGCAUCCUAGCCGACACAUUUCUCGUCUGGUGAGUUCAUACCCCUAUACCUUUUUCCGUGUUUUCAAUGUUUUCAGGGGGAAUACAAGCAAAACUACAUGGAAAUCUUGUACUUAAACUUAUUAUUUCAUUUGAUAUAUUUCAUAUUUUGUAUGCUUUUAACACUGUAAACGGUAUUAACCGACCGUUUAACUUGCAGAGUUAGCCUUCACACUGUUUGUGAAUCCCGUUAUAAAAUGUUAUAUUUUAUAUUUCACAAAUGAUUUUUCCACAUCUUUUCUGUUAAAAGCAUUAGCUUAGUACUUUUGAUUUGUCCUCGGUAACACUCCACAGAGAUACAGGAGUGGAGGACCACCUUUUGUAAAAGUAUUUUUUUGCAUUAUUACUUGUAAAUUUGUUAUUCUUAAAAAUUGGAGACACAUCCUCGGAAACACUCCACAGAGAUACGCAAGUGGAGGACCGCCCUAUAACCAGAAUCUCCUGGAGAGCGUGACUUGAGUAUAUAGAUCUAUACGGGGCUGACUACCUCGCACCUGGCUGCUAGCUACAGUCGACCCGAAAGGUUCAAGGGUGACGAAAAUCAUAAAAUGAUAUUGGACUUCUUAUUCCUAUAUCUAGUCUGUCGUAUGGUUAUGGAACUCGUAAUUUAGACAACAGAGAUUUACUUGUUGGUAAUAAUGUAUUUAGUAAGCUAAUAACCUUAAGAAUUAGUUUACUUUCCACACAAUAGUUUUAUAUACGUGUUAAAACUAACUUACAUUUCAAGGAUAACCAGGCUUUCAGGAAACUUCACACAAACACUUUAAGUAUGGUAGAUACUUGUACACUUCAUUGUGGAUCAAUAACCAACCACCAACUUUCAGGAAAAUAAGUGUUUUUCCUGGGAUAACUUAACUGUUCUUCACCAACUGUGUAACAUUGGAUAACUAGACUUUUCUUAUAAGAAAAUAUGGGAUUUUCUUUGAUAACGACUUUUUUAGAAAACUAAAAGAAACUUGUUCAUUUUCAGAAAACAAACCGCUUAUGAACUCACUAGCUUUAUGCUGAUUUUCAAACUGCUUGUAUUCUCAAGUUCUCCUUAGACAGGUAUCCCGAGUUCUUUUGUAGAAGACGGAGCAUAUGGAAGUCACGUCUUUACUUUUGUUUAGACUAUUAUAUCUAUAAAACAUGUAUUACCUUACUUUAAAAAAAAUGUAAUGAUUCUAUGUAAUGUAAUGUUUUGAGUUUACUAUGCUUACUAUGUACAUCAGUUGUGAUACUUAACAUGACGUCCUCCGCCCCAGAACGUUUCCGCCAUCGGUUUUGGGGAGUGACAGAUUGGUAUUAGAGCCCUUGUUUAUAGUGAACUAGUAUACCAAACCAUACAUGGUAUAAGACUAUAAACACUAAGGGGCCGAAGUGCUCUGAACUAAAAGUAUACUUUAAGAUAUAAGUAUUUUUCAAAAGUAUACAAGUAUACCUAACCGCCGGAAUCCGUAACCUCGAGUAGAACAAAACAUAAGUAAUUUGGUGUUGUACGUUGCGGUUAAACCUGGGCAAUUAUGUAGUCGUGUCUAGGGUCAAUAUAGCCUGAUCAACUAUAUUCAUUUGAGACACGGCCAACAUGUGCUUGGGAGUGACUGUGGUGUGCAGCAUGCCUAAAACUUACCAUAUACCCAAACAAUGAGUCGUCAUCGCAAAAAACCAUAAAAUACUAUAGGAGUAUUUUAGCCACAGCCGAAUACGUUGUAGAUGUUCGUUCCGAGUGUUGCUACUCAUUCCUUCCUUAGCGAUAGUUUAUCUGCUUUGAUAACUCCUUCCUGUUUUAUCGCUUAGUAGAUCAUUAUACCUGUCAUAUUGAGAUAUCUCUUGUUCCAUAUCUCUUGAUUCAAUUCAGAGGACUUAUGAUCCUCUCUUUCCUAAUCAUUCUAGAUCAUCAUGCCUCCAAAGAAAGGACCCAACUCAAGGAACAACAACUCUCCACCACCAUAUCCUUCUCAAUUCGACCUUAUCCUAUUUCAGGCAGUUGUUACUACUGCGGUGAGGGCUGCAAUGGUGCUUUUGAACCCUAGCAGGUAGAGUGGACUAGGAAGUAACACCUAUCCCCAAAACCAUGAAGAUGAUCAGGAGUACCAGAAUGAGCGUAAUGAGAGUAAAAAGGUUUUCUGGAAAAAGCGAAAGGGUCAGAGUUCACAAGGACCCUCCAAGAAGCACAAAACAGUAGCAGUUCAAGCUGUUACUACUCCUGUCACUGCUCCUACAUCUCAAGCACCUACCACUAGGUAUGCUGGUAACCUCCCUUGGUGCAACCGGUGUAGUUACCACCAUCGUAUCCCCAGCCCAUGUCAUGAAAAGCUUUGCAACAACUGUGGCAAGAAGGGCCACCUUGCGCAAAACUACAAAGCACCGGCUCAACCAACCAAUCAAGCUUCCGGAUCAAGUUCCGAUCAGGUCUGCUAUGGUUGUGGAGAAGUCGGGCAUUUCAAUAGGAACUGCCCCAAGACAGCAACAGCUAGCAACACUGGGAUAGCUUUGUUAUGAAGCAGGAGGAGGUAGUCGCCGAUCCCACCAUCGCCGCGGGUACGUUUCUUUUCGACAAUUCUUAUACUCACAUCCUUUUCGAAUCUAGUGCCAAAGAAAUUUUAUUAUUCGUUCAUUCAAGCGUCUUCUUAAACAUAGUCCUCUUUUAAUAACCGAAACAUUUACUGUCAAGAUAGCUAACGGUGAGAAAGAAUAUGUCAACGAUAGAUUCAUGGGUUGUACCCUUACUCUGAACGAUCAUUCUUUCCCCAUUGACCUAAUGUUAGUUUCAAUAAAGAGCUUUGAUGUUAUCGUUGGCAUGGAUUGAUUGAGUCCCAAUCAUGCUGAUAUCCUUUGUUACAAAAGGCCAUCCGUCUCAAUCUCCCCUCUGACCAGACUCUUAUGAUCUACGAUGAUAAACUUAGUUCAAAUCUUUGUAUCAUUUCUUGCAUCAAAGCUCAAAAGCUCUUGCGAAAGGAGUGUUACGCAUUACUGGCUCAUAUAAUCAAUGAGAAAGAGGAAGUUAAAGACCUCGAGAGCAUCCCCGAAUUCUGCAACUUUCCUGAUGUCUUUCUUGAAGAACUUCUAGAAAUUCCUCCCGAACGCAAGUCGAGUUUCGCAUUGACCUAAUUCCUUGAGCUACCCCCGUAGCCAAGUCUCCAUAUCGCUUAGCCCCAGCAGAAAUGCAUGAGUUAUCCGGUCAACUCAAUGAGUUUCUCGACAAAGGGUUCAUCAGACCAAGUUCCUCAUCCUGGGGAGCUCUGGUAUUGUUGUGAAGAAGAAAGAUGGAUCCUUUCGGAUGUGCAUAGACUACUGCGAGUUGAACAAGUUGGCAGUCCAAAAACUGAUAUCCUCUUCCUCGAAUAAAUGACCCCUUCAAUCAACUUCAGGGAGCCAGUUACUUUACGAAAAUAAACCUCAGAUCAGGGUACCAUCAACUUCGAGUUCACGAGAAUGAUGUUUCCAAGACGACAUUCAGGACUCGAUAUGGACACUACGAGUUCGUAGUAAUGCCCUUCGGCCUAACCAUUUUCCUUGGUCACAUAGUAAGCGAAGAAGGCAUAACCGUGGACCCGUACAAAAUCAAGGCGAUAGAGAAUUGGUCAGCACCGAAGACACCCACAGAAAUCCAUCAAUUCUUGGGUCUCGCUGCCUACUAUCGCAGGUUCAUCCAGAAUUUUUCCAGAAUCGCCAAACCCUUAACUACUUUGAGACAAAAAGACUUAAACAUGAGACAACGGCGAUGGGUAGAGAUGCUCAGUGUUUAUGAGUGUGAAAUCCGCUACCAUCUCGGCAAAGCCAAUGUGGUAGCAGAUGCCCUGAGCCGAAAGGAGAGUUCAAGUUUCAAGGCGAAGACAUUAACGAUGACCAUCAAUUCCCACUUGUCCGCUCAGAUCCGAGAAGCCCAGUUGGAAGCCCUAAAACUAGAGAACAUGUCAAACGAAGCCUUGAGAGGAAUGGAUAAGAAUUUUGAGGUCAGAGAUGGCGGAGUCUAUUGUUUCAUGAAUCGGACCUGGAUCCCAAAGUUCGGAGGAUUUAGGGAAGUUGUCAUCAAUGAAGCUCACAAGACCAAAUACUUUGUUCACCCAGGUUCGGACAAGAUGUACCUGGACCUCAAGAAACAAUACUGGUGGCCAAACUUGAAAGCCGAGAUCGCUACCUUCGUGGGCAAGUGUCUGAAUUACUCCAAGGUAAAAGUCGAGUAUCAGAAGCCCUCGGGUCUGCUCCAAUAGCCUGAGAUUCCCAAAUGGAAGUGGGAGAUGAUUACCAUUGAUUUCAUCACCAAGUUACCCAAAUCUCCGAGUGGGUAUGAUACCAUUUGGGUAAUUGUCGAUCGUUUGACAAAACUCGCUCACUUCAUCCCGAUCAAAGAAUCAUUCAAGAUGGAAAGACUCACGGGAGUCUACAUCCAAGAGAUAGUCCGAAUGCACGGUGUGCCUGUGUCCAUUAUCUCCGACCGAGAUAUCAGGCUUACCUCAAGGUUCUAGCAGUCCCUUCAGAAAGCUCUUGGAACUAAGCUGGACAUGAGUACAGCUUAUCAUCCUCAGAAUGACGGACAGAGUGAGAGAACUAUUCAGACCCUGGAGGACAUGCUGAGAGCAUGUGUCAUCGAUUUCGGAAAGUCGUGGGAAAUCCAUUUACCCUUGAUCGAGUUCUCGUAUAACAACAGCUACCACACCAGUAUCAAGGCUAGCCCGUUCGAAGCCCUCUACGGUCGUAAGUGCAGAUCCCCUCUAUGUUGGGCUGAGGUAGGGGACACGCAGCUAUCCAAGAGUCGAGUCCCCGAGAGCGCUCUCACUGGUCCUGAAAUCAUCCGUGAAACCACCGAGAAGAUCAUCCAAAUCCGAGAACGACUAAAAGCUUCACAAAACAAACAGAAGAGUUACGCCGAUAAAUGAUGAAAACCCUUAGAAUUCCAGGUUGGAGAUCGUGUCCUGUUGAAGUUCUCGCCCUGGAAAAGGCAUGAUAUUCUUUAGAAAGCAUGGAAAACUUAACUCGAGGUACAUAGGACCUUCGAGAUCCUCGCUAGGAUCGGUCCUGUAGUCUAUAACUCCGACUAUCUCCAGAAUUUAGCGACAUCCAUCCUGUCUUCCACGUCUAUAAUCUUAAAAGUGUCUAUCCGACGAAACCCUAAUAAUCCCUCUUGACAAGAGCGAGAUCAACGAAAUUCUGAACUUCAUGGAAGAACCAAUCGAAAUCAUAGAUCGAGAGAUUAAACUUACAAAACAAAGUCGUAUCCCGAUAAGUGAAGGUUCGCUGGAAUGCCAUGCGAGGACCCGAGUUCACUUGGGAGCGCGAAGACUCGAUGAAACAUAAAUAUCCGCAUCUCUUUCCAAAUCCAUGACUUGUAUCUUAAAUUUUAAAUUUCGGGACGAAAUUCCCUCUGACGGGGGGAUAAUGUGACAACCUGAAAUUUAUUCCGUCACGAUAUUCCAUUUCCGUUAGUAAAACCGUUCGUAUUUUAAUUUUUCCGUUAACUAUCGAUUUAAAUUAAUUAAAGAGGGACUUUCUAAUAUGACAUCGUGAGUAUCCAAACCCAUUAGAAACACGUGAAAACAUCCCAAAUGUUUAUUUGGAAAAAUUUUAAGUUUCGACCACGUCGGGUUACGACAAUUAAUCGGGUACGACCAUAAGCCUCGUUUAACGACAGUAUCGUGUAGAUUUCCACCGGGCCACAAACUCAAGCCUUAUAUAAAGGAUGAGUGAAUUUCACUUUAUCUUUUCAGCACCACCUCAUAACUUUCUCUCUCUACUCUCUCUCUUUCUCUCUCUCUCUCUAAAACUCGAGUUUGAUCCAAAAACGCCUCUUCAAGCUUCCAAAAUUGUAAGUAAUCUACCCUACCUUGUUGUUUAACUUGUUAGGCAUGCAAAUCUAUGUUUAAAUCACCCAAAACACUCUAUAACAAGUGUUUACAGUUUGGUAACACCUCCCAAAACCGUGAACUCCCUUAGAUGGGGUUUUGAAGCCCCAAAACCCUUCCAAGUCCCUUCUAGUGCUUAGAUAUGGAUUAAGGGCUUUCAUGAAUGCAUUUAGAGCACCAAAAUCUUACCAUUUGAGGAGUAAACAUGAGUUUACGACCCAAGAACAUGCUUGGACCGUAAAACCUCAUUCAUAGACCAUAAACACCUUUUAAGGUGUUAAAUUGCCCCUUAAACACCUCCAAAAGCUUCCAUGAGUGCAUAGAACCUUAUAUUCCUUCAAGAGAUGCACCAAAACAUACACAAAUGAGUCACACUUGAUUUUACGGUUUGGGAAGGUCUCCCAAAACCGUAAACACCCCUUCUUAGACCAUAAACACCUCCAAAGGGUGUUAAAGUGCCCUUAACACCUUGUAUGGCUUGGGAAUGGACCUAGAACUUUGUAUGUUUAACCUACAACCACCAAAACACAUGAUUCAUGGACAAACAUGAGUUUAUGGUCCUAAAAUCAUGUGUUUAAGGUAUUAAACUCAUCAAGAACAUCUUCAUAAACCGUAAACUCCUUUCCAAGUUCAUUUCAAGUCCCAAUCACUUCCUAAGCCAUGGAACCAACCCUAAAACCUCCCCUUAUGCAUUGUAAGACCAUUUAGCAUCCAAGAACACACCACCCAUGAGUUUACGGAUGUAAACUCAUGGAGAUAUGGUCAUUGGACCGUAAACUCCCCUAAGGGCUUACUCUUGAAGAGUAAACUCCUUAUCUAGGCCCUACACACCCUUAGAUGCAACCCAGAUCAUUCUAAACACUUGAUAUAAAGUGUUUUCGCGCCUCAGAGUGUAUAUU